Molecule: ribosomal RNA, 475 nt
Filed under: Pseudoalteromonas sp. ARK-59
Lineage: Bacteria; Pseudomonadati; Pseudomonadota; Gammaproteobacteria; Alteromonadales; Pseudoalteromonadaceae
Also listed under: 1 other name
Description: bacterial SSU rRNA
Rfam family: Bacterial small subunit ribosomal RNA
Source: RNAcentral
UCCUGGCUCAGAUUGAACGCUGGCGGCAGGCCUAACACAUGCAAGUCGAGCGGUAGAGAGAAGCUUGCUUCUCUUGAGAGCGGCGGACGGGUGAGUAAUGCCUAGGAAUCUGCCUGGUAGUGGGGGAUAACGUUCGGAAACGGACGCUAAUACCGCAUACGUCCUACGGGAGAAAGCAGGGGACCUUCGGGCCUUGCGCUAUCAGAUGAGCCUAGGUCGGAUUAGCUAGUUGGUGAGGUAAUGGCUCACCAAGGCGACGAUCCGUAACUGGUCUGAGAGGAUGAUCAGUCACACUGGAACUGAGACACGGUCCAGACUCCUACGGGAGGCAGCAGUGGGGAAUAUUGGACAAUGGGCGAAAGCCUGAUCCAGCCAUGCCGCGUGUGUGAAGAAGGUCUUCGGAUUGUAAAGCACUUUAAGUUGGGAGGAAGGGCAGUUACCUAAUACGUGAUUGUUUUGACGUACCGACAGAAUA